This 368-nucleotide ribosomal RNA is filed under the name Isochrysidales sp. RNAcentral describes it as "SSU rRNA". It matches the Rfam family "Eukaryotic small subunit ribosomal RNA", at positions 571 to 978 of the family's 1831-position model. Lineage: Eukaryota; Haptophyta; Isochrysidales. The record is from RNAcentral.
UUGGUGCGGUAAUUCCAGCUCCAAUAGCGUAUAUUAAAGUUGUUGCAGUUAAAACGCUCGUAGUCGGAUUUCGGGGCGGGGCCGCCGGUCUGCCGAUAGGUAUGCACUGGCGGGCGCGUCCUUUUUGCCGGAGACGGGAUGUACUCUUUGAAAAAAUCAGAGUGUUUCAAGCAGGCAGUCGCUCUUGCAUGGAUUAGCAUGGGAUAAUGAAAUAGGACUCUGGUGCUAUUUUGUUGGUUUCGAGCACCGGAGUAAUGAUUAACAGGGACAGUCAGGGGCACUCGUAUUCCGCCGAGAGAGGUGAAAUUCUUAGACCAGCGGAAGACGAACCACUGCGAAAGCAUUUGCCAGGGAUGUUUUCACUGAUC